UACGGUAGGGUCCGAGCGUUGUCCGGAAUUACUGGGCGUAAAGAGCUCGUAGGUGGUUUGUCGCGUUGUUCGUGAAAACUCACAGCUUAACUGUGGGCGUGCGGGGCGAGUACGGGCAGACUUGAGUACUGGCAGGGGAAGACUGGAAUUCCUGGUGUAGCGGUGGAAUGCGCAGAUAUCAGGAGGAACACCGGUGGCGAAGGCGGGGUCUCUGGGCAGUAACUGACGCUGAGGAGCGAAAGCGUGGGGAGCGAACAGG
Molecule: ribosomal RNA, 259 nt
Filed under: uncultured bacterium
Lineage: Bacteria
Description: partial 16S ribosomal RNA
Rfam family: Bacterial small subunit ribosomal RNA
Source: RNAcentral